RNAcentral lists this ribosomal RNA (839 nucleotides) under Coconut lethal yellowing phytoplasma. Its description in RNAcentral is "bacterial SSU rRNA". The stretch from base 1 to 681 matches the Rfam family "Bacterial small subunit ribosomal RNA", at positions 848 to 1533 of the family's 1533-position model. The record is from RNAcentral. Lineage: Bacteria; Bacillati; Mycoplasmatota; Mollicutes; Acholeplasmatales; Acholeplasmataceae.
GAGUAACACAUAAGUACUCUGCCUGCGUAGUACUACGCAAGUUUAAACAAAGGAAUUUACGGGAUCCCGCACAAGCGGUGGAUCAUGUUGUUUAAUUCGAAGAUACACGAAAAACCUUACCAGGUCUUGACAUUAUCCUGCGAAGCUAUAGAAAUAUAGGGGAGGUUAUCAGGAUAACAGGUGGUGCAUGGUUGUCGUCAGCUCGUGUCGUGAGAUGUUAGGUUAAGUCCUAAAACGAGCGCAACCCUUGUCGUUAGUUACCAGCACGUUAUGGUGGGGACUUUAGCGAGACUGCCAAUGAAAAAAUUGGAGGAAGGUGAGGAUUACGUCAAAUCAUCAUGCCCCUUAUGAUCUGGGCUACAAACGUGAUACAAUGGCUAUUACAAAGAGCAGCUGAAACGUGAGUUGUUAGCUAAUCUCAAAAAAAUAGUCUCAGUUCGGAUUGAAGUCUGCAACUCGACUUCAUGAAGUUGGAAUCGCUAGUAAUCGCGAAUCAGCAUGUCGCGGUGAAUACGUUCUCGGGGUUUGUACACACCGCCCGUCAAACCAUGAAAGUUGACAAUACCCAAAACCAGUCGCUUAACUACUUCGGUAGAGGGAGCUGUCUAAGGUAGGGUCGAUGAUUGGGGUUAAGUCGUACAAGGUAUCCCUACCGGAAGGUGGGGAUGGAUCACCUCCUUUCUAGGAAAUGUCGUAUCAUGAUCAUCUUCAGUUUUGAAAGACUUAGAGUAGAUAAGUUUUUCUUUUGGCGUAGAGGAAGGGCCUAUAGCUCAGUUGGUAGAGCACACGCUUGAUAAGCGUGCGGUCAAUGGUUCAAGUCCAUUUAGCCACACUCCUCC